GGUUGCUUUCGAAUUUAUUUACCCAUUAUCAUUAUCGUUGAGUAUAGAGACUUCCUGCUAGAUGAGGGUUGAUCUCAGAUUCAGUUGUUCAGUGUUCUAGAGACUUCCUGCUGGAUGAGGGUUGAUCUCAGAUUCAGUUUUUCAGUGUUAUAGAGACUUCUUGCUAGAUGAGAGUUGAUCUCAGAUUUAGUUGUUCAGUGUUCUAGAGUUGGUAAAUUUGAAUAUCAAAUAUCAGUAAUAUCAGUUAUCUGAUUUCUCAGUAUGGAUAAGUACAGAUGUCAGCUCUAGUAGCUUCAGAUACUUAGUAUCUUAUUGUCAGUAUUAUUAUUUUCAGGUAUCAGCGUUCAAAAUGUAACAUUCGAUGUCAUGAUGAUUUCAGUUGUACUUUAUGCAUCCAUAUGUGUAUUGUUGAUCAGAUAUGUUUCAAAAUUCGUAACUACAGAGUUUUUGUAUAUGUUUAUUCCAGCGAAUACAUAUUAUUCAGAUUGUUAUGUUCAUACAUAAGCCUUAUAUUUUACCUUACCCUAUCCUUGCAUACUCGUACAUUCUUUGUACUGACGCAUUCAUGCUAUGAUGCUUUCCCCACCAUAGGUUCAGAAGACUGAGAUUCAGAGUAUAUUUAGCUGUCAGAUCUUAUAGUAGUGGGUGCAGCAGUGAGUCCUCAUCAUCCGAAGAUAUUCUAUUUCAAUGUUUUGGUGAUUUUAGUAUACGGAGUUAGUUGGGGAGUUUUCCCUUCAACUCCACAGUUCAGACAACGUAGAGGCUUUUUAGAUAAAUGUAUUAAUAUUUAGUUUUCAGUACGGUAUAUUUAGAUGUUUGAACCUUAUGGCCAGAUUUAGCUAGUUUCUACAUUUAUCGUAUUAUAUUAUGCAGUGAACAAAUAUAGAUAUCAGUGAAGGGUUAGCUUGUGGUCCCUCGGGGUCACGAGCACCGUGUGGCAUUCUGGUUCAUGGAAAUCAGGGUGUUGCAAACUUGGUAUCAGAGCCUAAGGUUCAACAGUGUCCUAGGGAGUCUGAAAAGCCGCAUCUAGUAGAGUCUUGUACAAGAGUGUGUUGCAUGCCACAUUCAUGUAUGAGAGGCUAUGGGAUGUUUAGAAGAGUUUCCGUUCAUUCAUGAUCCAGAUCGUGCUAUAGCAAGAUUUUCCAAGAGAGUUAUGUAGGCUCUUGUAAUGAUCUACUUAUGUCAUAUUUACAUUACUCUUAAGGUAAAAGAAGUAGUGAAGCCAAAGUCUUUCAGAUAGAACUUUUUCUGACGGUCCCCGCAGAUAGUUUCGGGACAGUGUUCUCUAAAGUGAGAAGAGUAUGCCUUAUGGGGUUAGCUAUUUAUAUGGUGAAUGAAUAGGCUUGAAAUUAUAUAUGUAAGAAUCUAAGUGUGGAAGUUGGGAAUUAUAUGUGUUUAUUGAUAGAGAUUAGUUGCGAUUCUUAUGGUGUGGAGAAGUAUAAGUUUAAGAGAUGUAAUAUUUGAAGGCUAGAAUGAUAAUAGUAUGUUUAAUAAAGAUUUAUGGUUAUUCAUGUUAUGUUUUAGAAGCUAAGCUUGAAUCUUUGAAGAAUGUAAGUUUUUGGACUCCAAACUAAGUAUUAAGAUGUGAAUGUGGUAUUAGUAGCCUAUGAAGAAAUCGAAGCAGAUAAUGUGUUUAGUGAGACAAGUAGGUGUUGAAAAGAGUGUAUGUAUAUGAUGAUGAUUGUAGAGACUAAGGAAAGAUAAGAGUUGUAUUCCAAGAAGUGGCAUUGGUAUUGAAUUUAUGUUCUCAGGUGUAGUCUUUCUGGAUGAAUUAAAUUAUCAUUUUGUGCACCGUUGUGCCUCACAAUCUAGAGUACAUUGGUUGUAGUUAAUUUUGGGGUUUAGCCAAGUGUCCAAAAGUGUCUGACGAUUACUUAAAGCUGAGUGGAGGAUGAUAGAGAAAGUGAAAAGUCAGGCCCUCAGAAUCUGGUAGUGGUGCCAGUAGGUAUGGAAAAGCAGUAAAGGGAGACAGUUCCCGAACCAUUCUUAUUUCAGUGAAAUAUGUCUAGAGGGACCUUGGGUCUCAAAUGGGGAGAUACCCCAUAAUGUUAUAAUAAUUGCAUGUCCAUUCUCUUUCUAUGAUGUUAACCUCAUCGUUCGUUGCAUUUCUGGUUAUGCUUUUGAGAAUUUGGUGUAUUAGGUAUAUUCCUAUUUAAUAUGCACGUUCAAUAGAAAGGAACUCGAAUUGUCGGCAUGUUUGAACAUGUAUUGAAGAGAUUAAUUGGGUUAUGAUUCUGUGCAUUUGAGAUGCAUGUGUGUUGUGAAAAUUUACCCAUGAGUGGGUUGUUGAGCGUUUUAUGCAAUAGAUGUGUAUGACUAGUGAACGUACGCAGAAUAUUGGUUCCUUUGGUCGUGUGGUUAUGUUUUGAGAUGUCUUGCUGUCUUGAAUAAACCCAGUUGAUUAGUGUUCUUGAUUUGUCCUACACAUUCGAGGACGAAUGUUUCCAAGGGGGAGAUGAUGUAAUACCCCAGAAAAUUUUUCGUCGAAAUUUUGUGCGUAAACGUAUUGGAUCCUAUCUUCGAGAAUGAUUUAUAAUUUUUCUGUGUGUCAUUUCUUGGAUUUCGAUCCAACACUUCUUAGAGCAUCGAAUAAGCUUUCCAACGAUAUGUAUAUCACCCAAAACGGACACUCGAGUGUUGAGUUACGACCGUUCCGAUCAAACUAUGUACAUUCCAAUCGAACUAUGACCAGUAAAAUGUGAAGGAAAAAAAAAUACUGCAACCAGGCGAUUUUUUUGGUCAACUUCAAACGAUCAUAACUUCUUGUACAUAAUGAACUAUGUGAGCUUGUAUAUAUCAACAGAAAACCCUGAGAGUCUUCUUUCCAAUAAAAUUGGUUUCAUCGAAUUUGGAUAUCGUAGUAAAAAGUUAUGGCAAAUUUACUUCAGCCUAUCGGAUAGAUCACUGAAGGACAGAUUCGGAUUUUAUUUGUUUCUUAGGGAUAUUUUGGUCUUUCACCACUCUUUUAAACCUCUGUAAAUACCCCAUUUAGCUGAGAACUUGUAUUAUUUUGCUGUAAUUUCUCUUAUAUAUAUAAUUCCGAUCGAACUGUGAACAGUAAAAUGUGCAGGAAAGGAAAAAAAAUACUGCAGCCAGGCGAUCUUUUUGGUCAACUUCAAACGAUCAUAACUCCUUGUACAUAAUGAACUGUGUGGGCUGCUAUAUACGUGUGUAGUGUGUAUGUGUGUAGUAUUUACAUGAUGGUUGAGAUAUAUGUGUGGGAUGAUUAUGUGUGUUGGUUGAAGUUUAUGUAUAUAGUAUUUGUGUGAUGGUUGGUGAUUAUUUUGUUGAAGUUGAUGAUAUCCAAGAAGGGAUCUUUGUAUGUUUGUGGAAACUAAGGUGGUGUGUGAUGUAUAAAUACAUAAAAUUGGUGAUUGAAUACUUGUAAUCCCGAUGAAUCCACCAAUGCCUAAGAAGUGCAUGUAAGGUGUUUGUGAAAAUACCUAAGAGACUAGAGAUUUUGUUUUUAUAACAUAAUAGGUCCAAAAUUAAUUGAUUAUGAAUAUAUGAUGAUUUAAAUUUUUAAGCCUUGAUUUAUACUAUUAUUCCAUUAUUUCCUUGUUAUGACUUGAUAAUUGUUAUUGGGAAUUAUAGAUCCCUACUAUUGAUUGAUAUGUCAAAUAUUUUUUAAAUGUUAGUUGGAUUGUGAAUUGAGAAAUGUGGAUGUUGAAGUUGAAGGAUGAUGGUGUUGUGGUGCAUGAAAUUGAGCAUUAAACCUAUGCCCUAAAUGGUGCAUAUAAGAUGAUUGCUUAAAUGCCUAUGUGAAGAACAACUUAAGUAUUUGACAUGUUUGUUAUCCAAAUUAUGAUUUCAUGCCAUAUCCAUAUGCUUAACUUAUGUCUACCAUAUGUUUGACAAAAUAUUUAAGAGAAUAGGAAACUAUGCAUUGUGGUUCAUUAGGUCUUAAAAGAUAAAUUCAUGCUUUGUUCCUAUGGAUAGUUGAUUUCCUUGAAUUUCUGAUGCGUUGUGGGUGUAUGAUGGAAUGUGAUGAUGAAUUAUUGAGGUAACUAUGAUGUUUGUGCGUAGUAUUUGCUAUGGACCCAAAGUAUGCUCCCCACGUGUUCGAUUGGAUGCUUAUAUAGAGAAAUGAGGCCAUUUGAAUUGCUAAGUGUGAAGUCCUCAAUCAUGUGUUGCGUACGAUGGCCUAUGGGAAUGUUUUGUAUGAGUCAUCUAUCUUGUGUUACUUUAAGCUAUUAUGUGUCGGGGGUACGUAUGCCUGAAAUAGUCUAUUGGUCUAGAGCCGAGUCAGUUUCACGGUAAUCUCAAUCAAGCGAUGAACAAUGAACUCCCGGUUAGUUUCAAAACUUGGGGAAAACUCAGUAAUCUCGAAAACUAUUCUUUAUCGUAUAAUCAGGCCAUGAAGCUAUGUAAUCUUACAUAUCAAUUCACUCCAUUAUAGACCUCUAUACAUUUUGUGACAUAGUAAGCUUACCUAAAAAGUAAGUGGAAAUUAGAAAUACUUUGUCCGAGAGCCGAAUCAAGCAAACUCUGUCAUAUUGAUAAAGUAUCAUAAUGUGAGAACAGAUUCAAUUCAGUCGAGUACAAUUAAGAACCGGUUAAAUGUCUUUUAGUUGGGAGCAGGAUUUAGCACCGAGCGAGCUAUGCUUCUUGCGAGUAGAGGGUUUGAUUCACUUCUGCACAUUCCUGCGAGUAGAGGGUUUGAUUCCUGGUAGCAAUCCUUAUGCUCCAAAACUACGUCGCCAGCGUAGGUUGAGACAUCUAUCCUGCGAGUAGAGGGUUAGAUGAGGUAGUUGUCCUGCGAGUAGAGGGUCCCACCAUUCUCAUUUGAGGUCCUGAUAGUAGAGGGUCAUAUGCAGUUGUAUUUACUGGUGGCGCGGUAUUGACACCCUCUAAGCUGGGGUACAGGUUGGAUCCCACUUGUGGUAAGUGGGGCAUGUCGGUUAAAUGAUCACUCCUAUAGUUUCAGUAAUAGUCUCAGAAAAGAACUCAAUUAAUGUGCAGAAGUUGAGGCUGUCAGAUACAGGCCUCCCAGUAUUUCUAUCAUCAUCAUUGAGUACAGAGUCUUCCUGCGAGAUGAGGGUUGCUCUCGAACUUAUUUACCUAUUAUCAUUAUCGUUGAGUAUAGAGACUUCCUGCUAGAUGAUGGUUGAUCUCAGAUUCAGUUGUUAGUGUUCUAGAGACUUCCUGCUAGAUGAGGGUUGAUCUCAGAUUCAGUUGUUCAGUGUUC
Molecule: long non-coding RNA, 5188 nt
Filed under: Capsicum annuum
Lineage: Eukaryota; Viridiplantae; Streptophyta; Magnoliopsida; Solanales; Solanaceae
Description: long non-coding RNA (CANN_LNC017962)
Source: RNAcentral